UGGGGAAUAUUGGACAAUGGGCGAAAGCCUGAUCCAGCCAUGCCGCGUGUGUGAAGAAGGUCUUCGGAUUGUAAAGCACUUUAAGUUGGGAGGAAGGGCAGUAAGCGAAUACCUUGCUGUUUUGACGUUACCGACAGAAUAAGCACCGGCUAACUCUGUGCCAGCAGCCGCGGUAAUACAGAGGGUGCAAGCGUUAAUCGGAAUUCCUGGGCGUAAAGCGCGCGUAGGUGGUUCGUUAAGUUGAAUGUGAAAGCCCCGGGCUCAACCUGGGAACUGCAUCCAAAACUGGCGGGCUAGGGUAGGGCAGAGGGUGGUGGAAUUUCCUGUGUAGCGGUGAAAUGCGUAGAUAUAGGAAGGAACACCAGUGGCGAAGGCGACCACCUGGGCUCAUACUGACACUGAGGUGCGAAAGCGUGGGGAGCAAACAGG
RNAcentral lists this ribosomal RNA (429 nucleotides) under Pseudomonadota bacterium. RNAcentral's name for it is "Proteobacteria bacterium partial 16S ribosomal RNA". It matches the Rfam family "Bacterial small subunit ribosomal RNA", at positions 355 to 776 of the family's 1533-position model. The record is from RNAcentral. Lineage: Bacteria; Pseudomonadati; Pseudomonadota.